RNAcentral lists this long non-coding RNA (556 nucleotides) under Phascolarctos cinereus (koala). RNAcentral describes it as "lncRNA (ENSPCIG00000004019.2)". Lineage: Eukaryota; Metazoa; Chordata; Mammalia; Diprotodontia; Phascolarctidae. The record is from RNAcentral.
GUUUGCAUAAAAAUGUACAGCAUAUGGAAAAAUCAGGAAAAAAUGUGUGUUCUAUUUAUCUUCAAGAUAUCUCCCCAAGUUUCCUCCUGGAGGUGCAAUUGUUUGUAAGAGCUUUUUCAUGUGAACACAGUAGUUUCUCUAUUUUAUUUAUUGUUCGCACCUUUAUGGAAAGUGAAAGGCCAAGAGAGGAUGGCAGGCUGCGGGCUAUCGGAAGAUGCCUUCUUCUCCUCUUUCUUUUACAACUACAGCUCCUCCUGGGAAACCUCCUACAACCAGCUGCUCCAAGUGGGGAAGUAGAGCACACAUUUCUCUUCCGCUGCUGGCACCAGAUCAGCUUGUGGUCCAACUUCAGUCCAAUCUUGAAAGAAAACGUAUUGAUUGGGCUAAGAGCUUGGUUGUCCUGGCAUAAGAGUACUGCUCUUGAGGAAUCUGAGACACCGUCUUGACUCUAGGACUGCCUGGAUGGUCCUCUGUUUUGUAAAUCCUUGUCAACCUGAGGGACCAGAGAAGAGGCCAGGGAGUUCUAACAUGGACCUCCAUGAGUCUGAUCAUCAAG